AAAAAAAUUAAUGCUAAUCGAUCCUGUGUGCGGCGGCCGGACACAUCGCGAAGCAACCAAGAAAAUCCCCACCCGUGUGACUUUCUCUUCCUCCACGCCUGGGCCUCAUCCUUCUCCCUCCCUGCCGCCUUGGAGCUCCGGCGCCCUGCACUCCGUCUUGCCGGCCGGCGGCGGCUCUGGCAAGCGGCGCAAAGCCACCAGAUUCAUGGCCAAGUCCGGUGCCCGUAAGGACGCCGCGCAAGUCCGGCCAUCGGCCACCUCGCCGCCGCUGCAGCACUCCCCCGGCGCCACAGCAAGCUCGUUCGCCAGCCGCUCUCCACAGCUUCUCUUCUACCCCGGCGCCCCGACAAGAUCCUCGGCCAGCCCCUCGACACCACCACACCUGUACCCGCCUCUCAUGGAAUCCUCCUCAGCCAACCCUACAUGGAGGCCGAUGUAUACCUCUGCACCUGAAGGCCUGCUAAGUUUUGGACAAUUACCGCCCAUGAAUCCUUACAAUUUUCAACCUCAGCCAAUGCACCAUCAUGAACAAGGAUACCAAAAUAUGGAGAAUUUGCACUUUGUUGGUGCUUCCCCACAUGAUCCCUUUUCAACACCACCGCCACCACCGCACUCUAAUGUUUCAUCUCAGUCUGCUCCCACCAAAGUUGAUUCAAAGAAAAAGAAAAGGAAGGUCAAGAGUGUAGAUGCCGACGAAUCGGGAGCAAGGACCGCAUAUCGUCUGCCCUAUACACCCGAGGAACAUGAGAGACUGGCAGGUGCUUGGCUGGAGUGUUCACUCAAUCCCAUUGAUGGGAACGGAAAGAAGUCUGAGCAGUUUUGGGAUGACAUUGCUGCUCUAUACAAUACUGCCACACCAAGUAACCGCAAAAGAGAUCGGAAUCAGCUCAAGACGGAAUGGCAAAGGACCAAGAAAAGGCUCGCCGCUUUCCACGGUGAGUGGAUUGCCGUUAUGGGAGUGUAUCAUAGUGGUCACAAUAGUCAUGACCUGCAAAAAAUGGCGUUGGAGAAGUAUGAACGGAACUAUCACCAGCCUUUCCAACAUUUAACUAUGUGGGAAAAAAUCAAGGAUGAUUCAAAAUGGCUAGCCUCUUAUAAAAACAUGAUGGCAAAAAAGGAAACAUGACAGAGACCGAUCUCCCAUCAAAUAUGAUCAACUUGGAGGCCGAAGAGCGCCCAAAAGCUGGUCGUGAUAAGGCUAAGGCUGAACGUGCUGGUAAAGGAAAGUCGGGAGGGAUCUCACAAGAGCUUGGAGAAAGGCUAGACAAGUUCAUCGAGGUUAACAAUCAAUCGAAGGAGGAGCGCCAAAAGGUGAUAGACAGCCAGGUUCUUUUAUCAAAUCAACAGCUUGAAACCGCAAAGAUCAACAGCAAGACAAAAAUGUUGGAUGUUUACUCCAAAAUGCUUUUAGCGGACACAUCUAAAAUGGAUGAUGCUGAAAAGGCUCGGCGUGCUAAGGCUUUGAGCAGAAUGGAGGCCAUAUUAUUUCCUGAAGAAGCUUCAGGUAUUGUUAAUUCCCAAGCACAUGUACUCAUUUCAAGCAUCUCCAAGCAACUACUAACUAUUUCAUUGUUUGUCUCUCGAUCGGUUAAUUUUUGUUGUGAACCUGAGUAG
RNAcentral lists this ribosomal RNA (1614 nucleotides) under Triticum aestivum (bread wheat). RNAcentral's name for it is "partial small subunit ribosomal RNA". The record is from RNAcentral. Lineage: Eukaryota; Viridiplantae; Streptophyta; Magnoliopsida; Poales; Poaceae.